UACGGAGGGUGCAAGCGUUGUUCGGAAUCACUGGGCGUAAAGCGCGUGUAGGCGGCCUUCUUAGUCUGGUGUGAAAGCCCGGGGCUCACCCCCGGAAGUGCAUUGGAUACUGGAAGGCUGGAGUACCGGAGAGGAGGGUGGAAUUCCUGGUGUAGCGGUGAAAUGCGUAGAUAUCAGGAGGAACCCCGGUGGCGAAGGCGGCCCUCUGGACGGAUACUGACGCUGAGACGCGACAGCGUGGGGAGCAAACAGG
Molecule: ribosomal RNA, 253 nt
Filed under: uncultured bacterium
Lineage: Bacteria
Description: partial 16S ribosomal RNA
Rfam family: Bacterial small subunit ribosomal RNA
Source: RNAcentral